RNAcentral lists this ribosomal RNA (274 nucleotides) under uncultured bacterium. Its description in RNAcentral is "partial 16S ribosomal RNA". It matches the Rfam family "Bacterial small subunit ribosomal RNA", at positions 523 to 796 of the family's 1533-position model. The record is from RNAcentral.
AUACGGAGGGUGCAAGCGUUGUUCGGAAUUACUGGGCGUAAAGCGCGCGUAGGCGGUUUGUUAUGUCAGAUGUGAAAGUCCACGGCUCAACCGUGGAAGUGCAUUUGAAACUGGCAAACUUGAGUACUGGAGGGGGUGGUGGAAUUCCCGGUGUAGAGGUGAAAUUCGUAGAUAUCGGGAGGAAUACCGGUGGCGAAGGCGACCACCUGGCCAGAUACUGACGCUGAGGUGCGAAAGCGUGGGGAGCAAACAGAAUUAGAAACCCCAGUAGUCC